RNAcentral lists this ribosomal RNA (497 nucleotides) under uncultured bacterium. Its description in RNAcentral is "partial 16S ribosomal RNA". It matches the Rfam family "Bacterial small subunit ribosomal RNA", at positions 28 to 507 of the family's 1533-position model. The record is from RNAcentral.
GAUGAACGCUGGCGGCGUGCCUAAUACAUGCAAGUCGAGCGAACGGACGAGAAGCUUGCUUCUCUGAUGUUAGCGGCGGACGGGUGAGUAACACGAGGAUAACCUACCUAUAAGACUGGGAUAACUUCGGGAAACCGGAGCUAAUACCGGAUAAUAUUUUGAACCGCAGGGUUCAAAAGUGAAAGACGGUCUUGCGGUCACUUAUAGAUGGAUCCGCGCUGCAUUAGCUAGUUGGUAAGGUAACGGGUUACCAAGGCAACGAUGCAUAACCGACCUGAUAGGGUGGUCGGCCACCCUGGAACUGAGACACGGUCCAGACUCCUACGGGAGGCAGCAGUCGGGAAUCUUCCGCAAUGGUCGAAAGCCUGACGGAGCAACGCCGCGUGAGUGAUGAAGGUCUUCGGAUCGUAAAACUCUCUUAUUAGGGAAGAACAUAUGUGUAAGUAACUGUGCACAUCUUGACGGUACCUAAUCAGAAAGCCACGGCUAACUACGUG